UUCUGGGUUUUUUAAUUCCAGCAAGAUCCCAACAAGGAUGUCCGAAAGCAAAUUUAUAGAGAACUUUCACAUUCGAAGGCCAGAAACAAUUGAUUGAAUUGAACAUGUUGAAAGUCUCGAGCUCUUCUCCAAGAUUGAAGACAUCACCUUUAUCACAGACACAGUGUCAGAAGCUGACUUUAUGCUGAAGAUGCUUUUCAUACUGGAGUUUGCCAGUGGGCUGGAAGGGGUUAGAAGAAAAUCACGAAACGAUCCGUUUGUGGUUCCUUGAAGCAAAACUUAGCAUAAAAUUCUUUGAUUACAGAAAGAAAAAGAUUUAUAACAACAUGGAUCAGUUUCUAACAGCAACCUGUGAAUGGUCUUUGAACAGAAAAGCCAAUCUUUGAUGCCAGAAGAAAAAGUCUCAUCACCCUACUGGAAAAGAUAUUUUAUCUUAAUGACCAACCAUUGAAAGGUGCAAGAGAUGAAAUUUUCUAGAUGGUGUGUAGCAUGUGAUUUUGAGGUACCGUGGGUUGAGAUACCUGCUAAAUGUUUGAUGUUGCAAGAGCUCAGGUAGUGAAACUCUUAUGAAUAUGCAGCAAUAGAACUGGAAUCAACUGCUGAGAUGAGACAAUUUUUUUUAAUACGAAAAUUGCAUGUUACAAAAUGUGUUUUAUUGCCUUGAGUUGAUGGACAUUUAUUUUUAUAUUUUCUCUCAGUUUAAAAAACACUGGUUUAAUCCCAGAAUACAACACUUGGACCAAAACAACAAUUGGAACAAAAGGACUUAGAUACAUGAGAUACAUGAUUUGUUGAGUGAGUUUGUAUCAUUAUCAUAAUCAAAAUUCAUGAUUA
Long non-coding RNA from Saccostrea cuccullata (small rock oyster), 834 nucleotides. RefSeq lists it as uncharacterized. The transcript has 7 exons. The record is from RefSeq and is a predicted model, not a curated record. Lineage: Eukaryota; Metazoa; Mollusca; Bivalvia; Ostreida; Ostreidae.